This 492-nucleotide ribosomal RNA is filed under the name uncultured bacterium. RNAcentral's name for it is "partial 16S ribosomal RNA". It matches the Rfam family "Bacterial small subunit ribosomal RNA", at positions 29 to 507 of the family's 1533-position model. The record is from RNAcentral.
AGUGAACGCUGGCGGUAGGCCUAACACAUGCAAGUCGAACGACAGCACAGUAAGAGCUUGCUCUUACGGGUGGCGAGUGGCGGACGGGUGAGGAAUACAUCGGAAUCUACUUUUUCGUGGGGGAUAACGUAGGGAAACUUACGCUAAUACCGCAUACGACCUACGGGUGAAAGCAGGGGAUCUUCGGACCUUGCGCGAUUGAAUGAGCCGAUGUCGGAUUAGCUAGUUGGCGGGGUAAAGGCCCACCAAGGCGACGAUCCGUAGCUGGUCUGAGAGGAUGAUCGGCCACACUGGAACUGGGACACGGUCCAGACUCCUACGGGAGGCAGCAGUGGGGAAUAUUGGACAAUGGGCGCAAGCCUGAUCCAGCCAUACCGCGUGGGUGAAGAAGGCCUUCGGGUUGUAAAGCCCUUUUGUUGGGAAAGAAAAGCAGCAGGUUAAUACCCCGCUGUUCUGACGGUACCCAAAGAAUAAGCACCGGCUAACUUCGUG